Molecule: long non-coding RNA, 717 nt
Filed under: Setaria italica (foxtail millet)
Lineage: Eukaryota; Viridiplantae; Streptophyta; Magnoliopsida; Poales; Poaceae
Description: long non-coding RNA (SITA_LNC005096)
Source: RNAcentral
GCUCAUCCAUGAGAAUGUGACAAGUUCUGAAAGGCUUCCUCUUGCAUACAGACACUGCCUUUUUGUUUCUGUGUGCUGUCCAGUUGUAGGACUUAAACGUGGUUCUGUUAAGCUUGCACCAAGGAAGGUAAUGCCUGUGUUUCCUCUAACUGACAUGGCAAAUAGAUAAGAGCUUGUAACUAGUGUAAGUAGGUCAGUACAUUUCUUCAAUCCUAUAUUUCCAUGACCUGAUAAAAUGGACCUCAGAUCAAAUACAAUGGUAGUAACAUACUGCAUGAAACUAAAUAUCCACCAUGCUCGGAUUAUCCAUGGAAGUUUUGCAGAUUUGGUAUUCUUGAAACUGAAUACUGCAAGUGACAGUAUCGUCCAGGAUAGUACCUGUAAACCUUCACCUAGUAGAAAAUAUGGAUAUUUGCAAUCACUUGGUCCCCUUUUUAAGUGAAACAACACUAACUUCAGGACAUGAGUGGCUAAUAUAAACAAGCAGCAAGCUAUGCUUGCUUGAUAUGAUACAUUCAACUUUACGUCAGCAUACUUGUGUUCCUGAGACAAAUGAUUAUCUCUUUCAGAACUCGUAAGGUUCAAUUUCUGCCUGCACCAUCUGAUUUUCCUGAACAGUAACCCGGCCAAUACGCCAAUGACAAAUACCAUAUGUGUCAUGGUAAAAGUGCCCGUCCAGAAGCAAGGUGAAUCUAUCUGUGGCCACCCUCGUAAGUG